CCUGAGGAUGGGUCGCCUGCCGCUAGCGUCCACUUUCCUCCCAUCAUGAUAUUCAUCGGCCAACCGGCGGCCUCCUCCACUGUACCAGGCUACUGAUCUCUUACCGAGUCCCUGGUCUCCGUUGGAGUGUGGUCGAGGAACUGUUCAAGUAAUAUCAAUUGUACAGCAUCCUCCAAGGUUGUUGCUUGACAGCCCUGCACCCAGUUGCUGGCUGCCUGGUGCAUCCGAAAUGCCUAUUCAGUAUAGAAAUCUCUGCUCCCCUUUCUUAAU
This is a non-coding RNA of Pelobates cultripes (western spadefoot toad), 270 nucleotides long. Lineage: Eukaryota; Metazoa; Chordata; Amphibia; Anura; Pelobatidae. The record is from the annotation of a GenBank genome assembly.